CGUCUAUGUAGAGGGGAAUCUGCCUCCUCUCAAAGGGGAAUUCUUUCAGCGAGUCAAGCCCGUCUGAUUCGGGGCUGACUCAGGGCAGAGGCCCAGAGAGGACCUGUAUAGGUUGCGAGAAGUCGAGAUCAGAGGGGGCGGAAGGCAGUGAGAAAAGGGAGACGAGCAUCGGGGGGUGAGAGACAAACUCAGGUCUGGCUCUUGGCCCUUGACGCCACUGAAUUCGCGUCCCACGGUGGGAAGAGGAGAAAAGGGCCCUGACACCGCGGCUCGCCAGGGGCCCGCUGCGUAGCUGCAUCCCGAUCCCGCUGAGGGGACAGCAAAUAGUGAAGUGCUGACAGCUUGUGGUUGUCGUUACACUGGAAGGAAAUAGAAAACCGGACAGUGGUGUGUGUGUGUGCGUCUUGGCCAAAGGAACUUCUUGGGCUGGGUUAAUGUGAGCAGGUACUCCUUUGGGCGAAGUACUGGCACUGGCCAACGGCCUUUCCCUCUGGCCGUCUCCGAGGAAGCAGAGCUGCUGUGAAGACAGUUCCUCUCGCCACCGUGUGUUCACUUCUGACCUUGAAGGUUUUGGAGGUCCACUGGGCAUACUUAGUAUCUUUGGACAAAUAGGAAUUCAAUGAAAACGUAUUCUUAAAGGCGAAAAAGGUGGAUUUGCUAGACGCCCGACCUGGCCGCGACCUACCCG
This 688-nucleotide long non-coding RNA is filed under the name Pan troglodytes (chimpanzee). RNAcentral describes it as "long non-coding RNA NONPTRT006747". Lineage: Eukaryota; Metazoa; Chordata; Mammalia; Primates; Hominidae. The record is from RNAcentral.